Long non-coding RNA from Mustela erminea (ermine), 171 nucleotides. RefSeq lists it as uncharacterized. The record is from RefSeq and is a predicted model, not a curated record. Lineage: Eukaryota; Metazoa; Chordata; Mammalia; Carnivora; Mustelidae. The transcript is spliced from 3 exons.
AUGAUCCUCUUUCUGAGAUAUUGUUGGAAGGUCGAUGGCAGCCUAAUGGUUGGUCACAGUGCCUAUGUCAUUCACCCUAUGUCCUCUCAUCACGUGGACAUUUUGUCAUCUCACAGCAUCACGAGAAGAAGGGUGAGUACUGUACAGUAAGAUACUUGGAGGGAGAGAGAG